UGAGGAAUAUUGGACAAUGGGCGCAAGCCUGAUCCAGCCAUGCCGCGUGCAGGAUGACGGUCCUAUGGAUUGUAAACUGCUUUUGUACAGGAAGAAACAGUUCUACGUGUAGAACCUUGACGGUACUGUAAGAAUAAGGAUCGGCUAACUCCGUGCCAGCAGCCGCGGUAAUACGGAGGAUCCAAGCGUUAUCCGGAAUCAUUGGGUUUAAAGGGUCCGUAGGCGGUUAGAUAAGUCAGUGGUGAAAGCCCAUCGCUCAACGGUGGAACGGCCAUUGAUACUGUCUGACUUGAAUUAUUAGGAAGUAACUAGAAUAUGUAGUGUAGCGGUGAAAUGCUUAGAGAUUACAUGGAAUACCAAUUGCGAAGGCAGGUUACUACUAAUGGAUUGACGCUGAGGCGCGAAAGCGUGGGGAGCAAACAGGAUUAGAUACCCCUGUAGUCCCUGAGCGGGCUGGCAAGGCGCAU
This 467-nucleotide ribosomal RNA is filed under the name uncultured bacterium. RNAcentral's name for it is "bacterial SSU rRNA". It matches the Rfam family "Bacterial small subunit ribosomal RNA", at positions 355 to 825 of the family's 1533-position model. The record is from RNAcentral.